AACGCGGCGUGCGCGGCGGCCCGGCCUCGGGCGCUGGGGCCCGGCCUCGGGCGCGGAAAGGACCGAGAGAACGGGGGCUUCGCCUGUGCGGACAGUGCCAUGGUGGGAGAUGAGAGGGGAGCCCCGAACACACAGAAGAGAAGGACAGCUCUAAACCCGGGCAGCUGGAGCUCAGCUGUAAGGCCAUCCAUCGAAGAGAAGGUCACUCUAAACAAGCCUACGUCCUGAGGACCUCGCUGCAACCGUCCAAGCUCACUCGGCCCCGGCAGAUGAACCUUAGGAUUAAAGGGUGGGCUCAGUUCAGCGCACACUGUGUCUCACCGAUAAAAUCCAUUGCGCAGGCUCGAAGGCCUUACCCGCAUUUGCGAAGUCCUGUAUCACCAGCGCGCUUGUAAUAAACGUGGGUAGAGACCUUUCCCAAAUCUUCGUUCAAGAAGACUGGCCAUGAAUGAAUGAAUGAAAGUUCCCACAAAUUGGAAAACUUAAACAGAAACCCCCACGUCACUGGGAAUUCUGCUGAACUUUGCUAAUUUGUUGAACUUCAGUUAUAAACAUUUAUCAUUCACUCCAGUGGUCUGAAGAACCCCUGAGCAAUACAAAUGAAGUGUCAGGAGAAAAGACAAAUAUUUUCUCUAUUUAAUCUGAAGCUUGAUCCAGGCCAGAGGCAUUUUUAUGCCUAUGGCAGGAAACUAUCUUCCAUAUUUCAUUUAAAGCAGCAAUUAACUGGUUCAGAUUAAUUAUCCAUUUGUAGCCUAGCUCAUGUUUUAUUGUUCAUUUUAAACUUUUCAGAUUCUCAUCCUUAUCUUUCAAAAUGACAUCCAGGUAAUCCUUGAGCAAAGCCUGAGUCCUUAUUUAUUCCUCUGCCUCCUUCACUGGAGCUCAUGCCUGAAAUAUAGCAGCUACACUGGUUUUGGAGAUGUUUUACCCUCUGCUCACAGCUGACAGCUCUGCUGGUGAAAGUAAUUAUUCAGAGGAACUGGAACAUCACAAAGCUCAGGAAGGACCGAAACAUUUAAUCCACCGCAGUCGCUCAUACUGUGCUAUCAGCAGCAAGAAGGUGCAACCAGGUUAUAGUGGUCACUGAAGCUCCAGAGAAUGCUUCACAUAACAACAGCCAGACUAUGGUAACAGAGGAUGGUAUCUUCUGGAUUAAAAAAAGGAAUUAACGUAAUACAGGUGUAUGAGAAAAGUUUCAAGCAUUCUGUCUGCCACUGACUUUAAACUUUUUUCUACAUUUCUUUGCUUUAGAGCUCUUAUUGUGUGCUACUUUUUCUGCCAAAUUAUAAUUAUUUUAAAUUGUGCUCUCAAGACAUAACAAAAUCCCAAAGGUAAUUUUGCAUAAACAUCAACAGUGGUAUGUAGUGGAUUAUACAACAGUAAUGCAUCUAACAAGUCAUAUGCCUAAACCCAAGUUUCAGGACAAAGGAGAAGAGCAGCAAGCUAAAAGUGAGUAGGGCAACAGAAGGUCUGAUAUUGACUGUUAUACAUCUCUAUACCACAACAUAGCUACAAAUACAACAGACGUCCACUAUAUGGUAGAUUUCUACUGUAUUUACACUGAAACACAUUCAUUCUUAUACCAGCUUUCUAAAUAAUCAGCUCGUCACUUCAUUAGCAAUUCCUAAAGACUCAUGCAAUGACUUCUCUUUGCUGUGUAUCCGCAACCAAGGGUACCAGGCACACAUACAAGUAGGGUUUAUUUUCCUACCCCAGAAGUAUUAUGAACCUAAAUGCAGCA
RNAcentral lists this long non-coding RNA (1738 nucleotides) under Manacus vitellinus (golden-collared manakin). RNAcentral's name for it is "lncRNA (ENSMVIG00005008927.1)". The record is from RNAcentral. Lineage: Eukaryota; Metazoa; Chordata; Aves; Passeriformes; Pipridae.